RNA transcript from Calidris pugnax (ruff), 1168 nucleotides. It is a transcript of the gene named thiosulfate sulfurtransferase (rhodanese), with no coding region annotated. The record is from RefSeq and is a predicted model, not a curated record. Lineage: Eukaryota; Metazoa; Chordata; Aves; Charadriiformes; Scolopacidae. The transcript has 3 exons.
CGCCGCCAUUUUGUGUGUGUCUGUGUGUGUGCGCGUCUGGCCGCCGGCGGCGCCCCCUCCCGGCCUCGGCCCAGCGAGAUGGCGCCGCAGGUGCUCAGCAGGGCUCUGGUCACCGCCAAAUGGCUCUCGGAGGCCGUGCAGGCCGGGCGGGUAGGGCCGAGCCUGCGGAUACUGGACGCCUCCUGGUACCCGCCGCAGGAGCGAAACGCCCGGCAGGAGUUCAAGGAGAGGCACAUCCCCGGGGCGUCCUUCUUCGACAUUGAGGAAUGCCGAGACCAGUCCUCCCCCUACGACUUCAUGCUGCCCAGCGAGUCCCACUUCGCCGACUACGUGGGGCGCCUGGGGGUCAGCAACGACACCCACGUGGUGGUGUAUGACGGGGACCAGCUGGGCACCUUCUAUGCCCCCCGCGCCUGGUGGAUGUUCCGGGUCUUCGGGCACAAGGAGGUCUCGGUCCUGAAUGGUGGCUUCAAGAACUGGGUGAAGGAGGGCCACCCCGUCACGGCAGAGGUCAGCCAGCCCACCCCAGCUGUCUUUAAGGCCAGGCUGAACACGGUCCUGCUGAAGACCUUUGAGGAGAUGAUCCAUAACGUGGGGUCCCUGCGGUUCCAGGUGGUGGAUUCCCGCCCUGAGGGCCGGUUCCGGGGGACCGAGCUGGACCAAGGGCUGGAGUCUGGUCACAUCCCUGGUGCUGUGAACAUACCCUUCCACUCAUUCCUAACAGAAUCUGGCCAUGAGAAGAGUAUUGAGGAGAUCCAAGAAAUAUUCCGUGAGAAGAAAGUGGAUCUCUCAAAGCCACUGGCGGCCACGUGCCGCAAAGGUGUCACAGCGUGUCACAUUGCCUUAGCAGCCUACCUGUGUGGCAAGCGUGAUGUGGCUAUUUAUGAUGGUUCCUGGUCAGAGUGGUUCCACCGUGCCCCACCUCGCUACAAGGUCUCCGAGUUGAAGCGCAACAAGGCCUAGAGGGAGAAUUGUUUCUUGGGCCGUGAGAUCUUGCAGCUGUCUCCAGCCCAAGUUACAAGGAAAGGGAAGAGGAUGACCCUGAUCUCUGCCAUGUUUCUGCUGGUUCCCAUGGAGACCACAGCUUACAGAGGGAGGGUUGUUCCCUAGCAACCAUCUCUGCUCUUCAGCCUUUAUCCCACCUCCAUUCCUGGACUUCAGACUUGCC